RNA transcript from Lates calcarifer (barramundi perch), 4935 nucleotides. It is a transcript of the gene named coiled-coil domain containing 120a, with no coding region annotated. The transcript is spliced from 11 exons. The record is from RefSeq and is a predicted model, not a curated record. NCBI's taxonomy places the organism in Eukaryota, Metazoa, Chordata, Actinopteri, Centropomidae.
AUCAAGCUUCCUGCAGGGCUUUUAUUUUGUUAGCGCCGUUUUAUUUUGAAACAGCUGAGCGGAAGUGUUCGGUGUGAGUCUGCAGCUGCAGCAGUGAGGGUGAGUCUGUGGACAGAGACUGAGGAGAGAACCCCGCGACUCACUGAGCAACACAACUUUACUCUGUUUAACUACAACGACACGUCCCGCUUUAAUCCUGCUUUAAUCCUGGUUUAAUCCCGGAUCAAUCCCGGAUUUAACCUGGCAAUCAGCGGCUGUUUCAGACCGGAGGUUCAGACUGUCCAGGCUGCGACUGUUUAACUCCCCCUGUUGGAAAGACAAAGAACUGCACCUGCACUGCCAGCUAACGGCUAACAGUUAACGGCUAACCAGUGGUUGUGCUGGUGUUGGAUGGCCACAGGAGUGAACUACUGGAACUCUUAUGAACCCAGUUACAAGGUGAGUGAGUGUGUGUGGGGCGGAGAACAGGAGUCCAGCAGUGAGGAGGGAGGAGGAGGGGUCACAUGGGAAACACCUGCCAUGGAGGUCAAAGGUCAACUCAUUCCAGCACCUGACCCUCUCACCUGUCCGGACAGGAAGCAGAGGGAGCGAAUGGCAGAGCUGCAGGAGAGGAGGCGGAGCCUACAGGUGCUGCUGAGCACACGAUUGGCUGAGCUCAGACGCAUCUGUCUGCAGGAGGCGGAGCUGACAGGUGCGGUGCCCAGUGACUUCCCCCUGGAGGCCGGAGAGAAACCCCCCUCUGUCCGACGGAGAGGGGGAGCGUCCCGUCACGGAAACAGGAAGUGUAGAGCAGAGGAGGACGACUCUCAGCGUUCGAAGCCGAAGAAAACUUUAUUCAGCGCCACUCUGAGGAAACACAAUGACCCUGAACACAACACACACACUCAGAUACACACACACCACGGCAAGAGGACUGUACACAGAGGCUGUCACACAGAUGACACAGUGAGGUCAGAGAGCAGCUCGACAUCAGACUCAACAGGACACGACAACGAUGACAGUGUUUCUCAAUGCCGCCCACCGCUGGUCUCUGCUGGUUCUCCAGUUGAGGUUUUCUACCAGAACAAAACCAGGAGGAACUCCCUGCACAACAGGUCUGAUCAUCCAGAGACUCUUCAGACUCACAAGCCCCUCCCCUUGCCUCCCUCCCACCCUCCCCCUCGCUCUCAGGAUUCCUCCUCCUCCUCUGGCCCCUCUGAUCUCGGAGCGGCAGGUGAGGGGAGGGUGAACGCCGCCCGUCGCAGUAACAGCUCUGACGGCCUCCUGGACCGCGUCUCCCCCCCAGAGGAGGAGGGGGGGCCACAGCAGGGAGGAUUGUGGGUAAAUGGUCUUUCCGGGUCCAGAGGAACAAAUGUCGCCGGAGCGUUCAGGAGCUCUGAGACGCUGACAAGAACGAACACCAGACUGGCCGAGGGGGGAGGGAGGGGGGAGGGGGCGGGAAGAGCAGAAAGAGGGGGGGGGGGUACAGUGAGGUCCUGCUGGACUACGUCUGGGGCAAACAGCAGCAGCUGCAGCGACAGCAGUCCCAGACCAACAGCAGGCAGCCAAUCACGUCGCAGCACCAGCUGCUCUACAACGGUUACUCCGCCCAGCAGCCGUCUGCAGCCCCGCCCACCUACCGUGGUAACCAUGGUGACCAGUGGCGAGUCAAAGUGACCCGCACCAAAUCCUGCGGCCCCUUCCUCCCAGUGCAGCAGAGCCAGUCUGAUACCCACAAUCCUCCUCUGUCCGCCAUCCAGCCAGACCCCCACCCCCACCUGCUGCCCCCCCGACCCCCACAGCUGCCCCCCAACCAGGACGCCCAGCUGGAGGAGGCCACCAGGAGCCUGCACAAGGCCCUCGCCCUGGAGGGUCUGAGGGACUGGUACCUGAGGAACACCAUAGGCUCCACCCACCCAAACCAGGCCAAUGUAAAGGUGAGCACAGGUGGCACCACAGGGCUCUCCACUAAGUUGAACGGCGGGGUCAAAGGUCAGGCAGGUGGAGGCGGAGCUCUGCAGCGCAGACGGACGACUCACAGCAUCACCCAGCUGUCAACAGAGACGACUCAUCAUGCUCCAUCGCAUCACAAACAGACGCUGCCGCAUUCAGCCACGUUCCACGGACACCCGCUGCACGGCAGGUCUGUGGAAGGCCCUCUCUACCACGACUCCUUCCCUCAGAAACAGGAAGUUCUUCUCAGAGACUUACCUGUGGACCAGCCGUCUCCAGGGACCCUUGUCUGACUCACCAACCAAUCAGGACACUCGCAGACAGGUGAAUGGACCAAUCACAGGCUGGCUUCCUGGGAUCAACCACCACCUGUGUGUCCAGGUGACUGAAUCAAACACACCUGUAGAUGGGCAGAGGUCCUGGUCCCAGUAGAUGUUCUUGCUCUGCUGGAGAUCCUCCACCUUCUUCUCCCGAGACCCCGUCCACCAUGAUGAUGUCACUGCUCAGGUGGAGGAAACUGGAUAAACCACAACAAACCAGGACCAGGUCUCACAGGAGAUGAUCUGGUGUUUGUAUCAGGGAUGGAAAUCAACAAACCGACUCCCCCUCCCUCCCUUUCCUUCUGACAUUUUUAACUUUUCUAGGACGUCUCAGACUCUGCUCAGACAAUCAGGACUCAUCAGAGACAGUGAUGAAGAUGAAGAUGGUGAUGAUGCGCUCUCUCUCUCUCUCUCUGAGGACAGCAGCACUCUGACAUCACCAGCUCAGUCCAGCCAACCAGCAGUUUCUAAAGUCUGAAGAUGAACUUUUAUAAAACUGAUCAGGUGACCUGUUCGAUCCCUCAGGUGAGUCCUUCAGAAACCAGCAGCUGAAGAUCCUCCAGGUGUUUUCACAGCCUGGAUUCAGCGUCUCUGCACUAAACAUGAAGACUCAGCUUCCUGUUGAAGACUGAACAUGUCUGCUCACACAGAACGGGUCUCAGUCAGAACCGUUCCCAGACCCAGUCAGAACCCAAACCGCAUCAGGAGCCUCAUGUACAAACUGUAGGAUCCAAACCAAAGGUCACAGCAGCGUUGGUUCAUCAUGAUGUUUAUUUACAACUGAGUCACCUUCAACAGGUGACACCCCCACACCUGUCUGUUAGCCUGUUAGCCUGCUAGCCUGCUCUGAGCUCCACCAGUGUUUCCUGUGUUCAGGAGAUGGGAAAUGAAACCAACAUUUAAACCCUGUUCUUUUCAUGAAAAGAACUACAAACAUGGCCGCCCUGUGCUCAAAUCUGUACACUACGUUAUGCUAAGUUCAAUUCUGAACUGGGAUGGCGUUCCAGUUGAGAAGUCAGAGAAACAUGAACACUCUCAGAGCUUUUAUAGACAACUUCUAACCAGAUCUGCUCCACCUGAAGAACACCAGCAGAGAGUUCACUGCUGUUGAUGUGAGGAGCAGCCAUCUUGGAUUCUGAUGUCGGGGUUGGGUCAGAGAGAAACUUGAAUGCAGCAUUAGCCCUGUUCUUUUCAGAAAAAGAACUACAAACAUGGCCGCUGUGUGCGCUACAUUACAAUUGAUUAAUCUGCACAUUCAUUGAUUAACAGACACAUCAGUUUCUCAGCACAGAAAGACUUUUUAUUUAUUAUCAGAUGAGGUCAGAGAAAAGUCAAAGGUCAAAGGUCAGAGAUAAACCCAGCAGAUCUGAGGCUCCUGAUGCUGUGGAUCAGCAGCUGCUGCACCAACACUCUGACUGAUCUCAGAUCAGCUGAAUCAACAUGUGAAUAUUUUAUUUUGAAAGUUUUUUAUUUUAAACUUCCUGUGUCUAAUCAGCCUCAGAAUCCAGAUCCAGAUUCAGUCUGAGAGCAAUAAGAGGAUCUCUGUGUCUCAGCAGCGACAAUCAGACGACGAUGUCACAGUGUUGAUUGAUUCUUUUGUGAUUGAUUGGUUUAUUGAUCAACUGAAAUGAUCUGUUUUGUACUGAGCUGUGAACACUUUUAUAAAACGUAUGAGAUGAAGUCAGCGGAGGAAACUGCCCUGAGAUCAGCUCCUCCACUGAUCACAGUAUUUAUUAUUGUUGUUGUUGUUGUUGUUGUUGUUUGUCGCUGACUCCGGCUCAGCGUUUGAUCAGUUUUUGUUCCUGUCAUCAGUUUGUUCUCAAACCAAAAACUCUGUCUCCUCUGUUCUGAGAUCAGUUUUACAGAAUCAGGUCUUUGAGUGUCACAGAAACCGUCUGACCUCCAGCUCCCUCCCAACGAAGCCGUGGUCACAUGACAGACGCUGGAAACGCCUGGUCAGUGAUGUCACACAGGUGUCAUCUCAAACAGCAGCAACAGUAAAAACACCUGAGCUUUAUUCACGUGAAAUAGCCCCGCCCACCUCCAGAACCCCCCCCCCCCCCGACAGGACUGGACUUUACCAGGAAAGUCCUGGUAAAGUCUUUCCUGGUGAAGUCACUCAGGUUGAUUGACAGCUGUCAUGUGACAGCGGCUUCAGUCCCAGCAUGCACCUCUCGAGUCUCACACCAAAGCAGAACAGACGUCAGGACGAAACACAAACAUUAAGUAAAUAAAGUUUCAGCCCGAGUACUGCGGUACCUCUGUGUAGUACUCUGUAGUAUUCAGGGCUGGAGCUGGGAUUACAGAGGCCUCAGGUCCAGACUCCUUCCCCAUCUCCUCCACCUCCAUCUCCAUCUCCUUGAUUUGUCAUGUUUCAUGUUCAGGAGUGUCAUGUGACCACAGAGUCAUGUGAGCACCUCUGUGUCCUCAGAACUUCAGCCCUGACCUGUUCAGUACUCUGUUGGAGCAGUAUUAACUCAGCUGUGUGUCUCUGCUGUGGUGCGUUCAGGUGCACUCUGUGCAGUCGGUCUUUGUUUCUAAAAAUCAUUUUCUAUCUUUUUGGACUUUAAUCUCUGACUGUUUCUACUUUUUCACUGAACUUUCUGCUGUUUCACCCUCCUGUAAAUAAACCACUGUAAACAGACUGUUUUUAAAUAAAGUUUUCUCUUCACGCUUCAAUCCA